RNAcentral lists this ribosomal RNA (1079 nucleotides) under Rhytidhysteron bruguierae. RNAcentral's name for it is "SSU rRNA". It matches the Rfam family "Eukaryotic small subunit ribosomal RNA", at positions 53 to 1141 of the family's 1831-position model. The record is from RNAcentral. Lineage: Eukaryota; Fungi; Ascomycota; Dothideomycetes; Hysteriales; Hysteriaceae.
GCAUGUCUAAGUAUAAGCAAUUAUACCGUGAAACUGCGAAUGGCUCAUUAAAUCAGUUAUCGUUUAUUUGAUAGUACCUUACUACAUGGAUAACCGUGGUAAUUCUAGAGCUAAUACAUGCUAAAAACCCCGACUUCGGGAGGGGUGUAUUUAUUAGAUAAAAAACCAAUGCCCUUCGGGGCUCCUUGGUGAAUCAUAAUAACUUAACGGAUCGCAUGGCCUUGCGCCGGCGACGGUUCAUUCAAAUUUCUGCCCUAUCAACUUUCGAUUGUAGGGUAUUGGCCUACAAUGGUAUCAACGGGUAACGGGGAAUUAGGGUUCGAUUCCGGAGAGGGAGCCUGAGAAACGGCUACCACAUCCAAGGAAGGCAGCAGGCGCGCAAAUUACCCAAUCCCGACACGGGGAGGUAGUGACAAUAAAUACUGAUACAGGGCUCUUUUGGGUCUUGUAAUUGGAAUGAGUACAAUUUAAAUCCCUUAACGAGGAACAAUUGGAGGGCAAGUCUGGUGCCAGCAGCCGCGGUAAUUCCAGCUCCAAUAGCGUAUAUUAAAGUUGUUGCAGUUAAAAAGCUCGUAGUUGAACCUUGGGCCUGGCUGGCCGGUCCGCCUCACCGCGUGCACUGGUCCGGCCGGGCCUUUCCUUCUGGAGAGCCGCAUGCCCUUCACUGGGUGUGCCGGGGAACCAGGACUUUUACUUUGAAAAAAUUAGAGUGUUCAAAGCAGGCCUUUGCUCGAAUACAUUAGCAUGGAAUAAUAGAAUAGGACGUGCGGUUCUAUUUUGUUGGUUUCUAGGACCGCCGUAAUGAUUAAUAGGGAUAGUCGGGGGCAUCAGUAUUCAAUUGUCAGAGGUGAAAUUCUUGGAUUUAUUGAAGACUAACUACUGCGAAAGCAUUUGCCAAGGAUGUUUUCAUUAAUCAGUGAACGAAAGUUAGGGGAUCGAAGACGAUCAGAUACCGUCGUAGUCUUAACCGUAAACUAUGCCGACUAGGGAUCGGGCGAUGUUAUUAUUUUGACUCGCUCGGCACCUUACGAGAAAUCAAAGUUUUUGGGUUCUGGGGGGAGUAUGGUCGCAAGGCUGAA